GUGUCAGCCGCCGCGGUAAGACAGAGGCGGCGAGCGUUGCCCGGAUUCACUGGGCGUAAAGGGCGCCUAGGCGGUCGCGUGUGCCACCGGUGAAAUUUCUCCGCUUAACGGGGAAACGCCCGGUGUGACUGCGCGGCUAGAGUAUUGGAGAGGGAAGUGGAACGACUAGAGUAGCGGUGAAAUGCGCAGAUACUAGUCGGUACCUCAAUAGCGAAGGCAACUUCCUGGCCAGUCACUGACGCUGACGCGCGAAAGCGUGGGGAGCAAACCGGAUUAGAAACCCUAGUAGUCC
This 292-nucleotide ribosomal RNA is filed under the name uncultured bacterium. RNAcentral's name for it is "partial 16S ribosomal RNA". It matches the Rfam family "Bacterial small subunit ribosomal RNA", at positions 505 to 796 of the family's 1533-position model. The record is from RNAcentral.